RNAcentral lists this ribosomal RNA (378 nucleotides) under Scytodes fusca. RNAcentral's name for it is "partial large subunit ribosomal RNA". The record is from RNAcentral. Lineage: Eukaryota; Metazoa; Arthropoda; Arachnida; Araneae; Scytodidae.
GUACUAAGGUAGCAUAAUAAUACGCCUUAUAAUUAAAGGAUAGCAUGAACGAAGACAUGUAAUUAUUCUAAAUACAAUCUUAUACUUACUAACUUACAAUUAAAAUAAAAAUGUUUUACUCAAAAAGAAAGACGACAAGACCCUGCUGAAUUUUAAACUAAAAAGUUUGACUGGGGCGGUUAACCAAGAAAAACUUCCAAAAUCACUAUACUAAACCGACCACACAUUAGAAAUAAAUUACCACAGGGAUAACAGCAUAAUUAUAUUGAAAAGCACACAUAUAAAAUACAGAUUAUGACCUCGAUGUUGAAUUAAUUAACCUUAAAUAAGAAACUUUAUUAAAAGGAGGUCUGUUCGACCCUUUAAAAAUUACAUGAU